GAUGAACGCUAGCGGCAGGCUUAACACAUGCAAGUCGAGGGGCAGCAUAAUGAAGUAGCAAUACUGAAUUGAUGGCGACCGGCGCACGGGUGCGUAACGCGUAUGUAACCUACCUCUAACAGGGGGAUAACACUGAGAAAUUGGUACUAAUACCCCAUAACACUUGAUAGGGCAUCCUAUUGAGUUGAAAGUUCCGGCGGUUAGAGAUGGACAUGCGUUGUAUUAGCUAGAUGGUGAGGUAACGGCUCACCAUGGCGACGAUACAUAGGGGGACUGAGAGGUUAACCCCCCANACUGGUACUGAGACACGGACCAGACUCCUACGGGAGCAGCAGUGAGGAAUAUUGGUCAAUGGACGCAAGUCUGAACCAGCCAAGUAGCGUGAAGGAUGACUG
Molecule: ribosomal RNA, 395 nt
Filed under: uncultured bacterium
Lineage: Bacteria
Description: bacterial SSU rRNA
Rfam family: Bacterial small subunit ribosomal RNA
Source: RNAcentral